This 335-nucleotide ribosomal RNA is filed under the name uncultured bacterium. RNAcentral describes it as "bacterial SSU rRNA". It matches the Rfam family "Bacterial small subunit ribosomal RNA", at positions 8 to 334 of the family's 1533-position model. The record is from RNAcentral.
AGAGUUUGAUCCUGGCUCAGGAUGAACGCUAGCUACAGGCUUAACACAUGCAAGUCGAGGGGCAGCAUGAUUGAAGCUUGCUUCAAUUGAUGGCGACCGGCGCACGGGUGAGUAACACGUAUCCAACCUUCCGUACACUCAGGGAUAGCCUUUCGAAAGAAAGAUUAAUACCUGAUGGUAUCUUAAGCACACAUGUAAUUAAGAUUAAAGAUUUAUCGGUGUACGAUGGGGAUGCGUUCCAUUAGGUAGUAGGCGGGGUAACGGCCCACCUAGCCUACGAUGGAUAGGGGUUCUGAGAGGAAGGUCCCCCACAUUGGAACUGAGACACGGUCCAA